Molecule: ribosomal RNA, 213 nt
Filed under: Triticum aestivum (bread wheat)
Lineage: Eukaryota; Viridiplantae; Streptophyta; Magnoliopsida; Poales; Poaceae
Description: partial small subunit ribosomal RNA
Source: RNAcentral
AUGCAGGCAGAUAUGUUCCUGACCAAGCUGACCAGCAUGUGCAAGAGGAGCACGGAGAAGGGCUCUAUGUGGGUCACCAUGAAGCGAUUGUCGAUGAAGUGUCAGGCUAGGUUGAAGAAGAUGGCGAGUAAGGGGGAGCCUGUUGAGUACCGGUGCCUGGUCUGCGCCACCGAUGGCAAGAGGAACAUCUCCACCUCGGUUGCCGUUAUUUAG